This 253-nucleotide ribosomal RNA is filed under the name uncultured bacterium. RNAcentral's name for it is "partial 16S ribosomal RNA". It matches the Rfam family "Bacterial small subunit ribosomal RNA", at positions 524 to 776 of the family's 1533-position model. The record is from RNAcentral.
GACGAACCGUGCGAACGUUGUUCGGAAUCACUGGGCUUAAAGGGCGCGUAGGCGGGUGGCCAAGUCAGAGGUGAAAUCCCACGGCUCAACCGUGGAAGUGCCCCUGAAACUGGUCAUCUCGAGGGAGGUAGGGGCGUGCGGAACUUCCGGUGGAGCGGUGAAAUGCGUAGAUAUCGGAAGGAACGCCGGUGGCGAAAGCGGCGCGCUGGACCUCUUCUGACGCUGAGGCGCGAAAGCCAGGGGAGCAAACGGG